RNAcentral lists this ribosomal RNA (324 nucleotides) under uncultured eukaryote. RNAcentral describes it as "partial 18S ribosomal RNA". It matches the Rfam family "Eukaryotic small subunit ribosomal RNA", at positions 1470 to 1796 of the family's 1831-position model. The record is from RNAcentral.
CCCUUAGAUGUCCUGGGCCGCACGCGCGUUACACUGAUGCAUUCAACGAGCUUAUAACCUUGGCCGAGAGGCCUGGGCAAUCUUGUUAACGUGCAUCGUGAUAGGGAUAGAUUAUUGAAAUUAUUAAUCUUGAACGAGGAAUUCCUAGUAAACGCAGAUCAUCAAUCUGCAUUGAUUACGUCCCUGCCCUUUGUACACACCGCCCGUCGCACCUACCGAUUGAAUGUUCCGGUGAGCUCUUCGGACUGCGCGGUCUGCAGUUUCUGCGUUCCGUGCGGAAAGUUGUGCAAACCUUAACAUUUAGAGGAAGGAGAAGUCGUAACA